ACGGGAGGCAGCAGUGGGGAAUAUUGCACAAUGGAGGAAACUCUGAUGCAGCGACGCCGCGUGAGUGAUGAAGUAUUUCGGUACGUAAGGCUCUAUCAGCAGGGAAGAUAAUGACGGUACCUGACUAAGAAGUCCCGGCUAACUACGUGCCAGCAGCCGCGGUAAUACGUAGGGGACAAGCGUUAUCCGGAUUUACUGGGUGUAAAGGGAGCGUAGGUGGUUUGGCAAGCCAGAAGUGAAAACCCGGGGCUCAACUCCGCGGAUUGCUUUUGGAACUGUUGAACUAGAGUGCAGGAGGGGUAAGUGGAAUUCCCAGUGUAGCGGUGAAAUGCGUAGAUAUUGGGAGGAACACCAGUGGCGAAGGCGACUUACUGGACUGAAACUGACACUGAGGCUCGAAGGCGUGGGGAGCAAACAGGAUUAGAUACCCUGGUA
Molecule: ribosomal RNA, 435 nt
Filed under: uncultured Lachnospiraceae bacterium
Lineage: Bacteria; Bacillati; Bacillota; Clostridia; Lachnospirales; Lachnospiraceae
Description: bacterial SSU rRNA
Rfam family: Bacterial small subunit ribosomal RNA
Source: RNAcentral